UGGGGAAUAUUGGACAAUGGGCGCAAGCCUGAUCCAGCCAUGCCGCGUGAGUGAUGAAGGCCCUAGGGUUGUAAAGCUCUUUCACCGGUGAAGAUAAUGACGGUAACCGGAGAAGAAGCCCCGGCUAACUUCGUGCCAGCAGCCGUGGUAAUACGAAGGGGGCUAGCGUUGUUCGGAUUUACUGGGCGUAAAGCGCACGUAGGCGGAAUUUUAAGUCAGGGGUGAAAUCCCGGGGCUCAACCCCGGAACUGCCUUUGAUACUGGAAGUCUUGAGUAUGGUAGAGGUGAGUGGAAUUCCGAGUGUAGAGGUGAAAUUCGUAGAUAUUCGGAGGAACACCAGUGGCGAAGGCGGCUCACUGGACCAUUACUGACGCUGAGGUGCGAAAGCGUGGGGAGCAAACAGG
This 404-nucleotide ribosomal RNA is filed under the name Actinomycetes bacterium. Its description in RNAcentral is "Actinobacteria bacterium partial 16S ribosomal RNA". It matches the Rfam family "Bacterial small subunit ribosomal RNA", at positions 355 to 776 of the family's 1533-position model. Lineage: Bacteria; Bacillati; Actinomycetota; Actinomycetes. The record is from RNAcentral.